GGAGCGCUGUUUUUGGAGGAAUUAGGGGAAGGAGGCUGCCUGGUAAGCCAGGAAAGGGGCUUCUGGCCGUUCUGUUGGAGCGCCUCUGACUGACUUCCCCCAUGUGUCCGUGUGGCCACACCGUGCUACUUUCAGAGGCAGUGGGCUUUUCGCUAAGCGAUAAAAAGAAGUAAAACCUUGCCUUUAGCGCAGCUCUCCAUCACUGGGCAGAUUGCUCUCCCUCCCCACUCUCCCAGGCCCAAAUUGGAUCUCAGCGCCUGGGAGCUCCAACUGCAGCAAGUGCAAAAUCCUGUCUUCGGUUUUGGAAUUUUCAUCCGCACAGACUAUAUCAGCCACGGAUAGGAUACGUGAGAAUACUAGCAUGUCAAAGCUGGGAAUCAUCCUUAGGCAUCACCUAGCCAGUCCUGCCUCUCAUUUUAAGGACCAUGUUACUUCUGGGGUAGGCUCACCCGUGAAAGCACAGGCUACUGUUAGAACUUUGCCUUCAUCAAUGCUGAUAUCAGAUGGAAGAGCUUCAAUUUUAGGCGGAAUUCCUUUAUGGAACAAUGACAAAAAAAAGUCUUAGAAUCACUGAAAAAAAUAAAGA
Molecule: non-coding RNA, 586 nt
Filed under: Pongo abelii (Sumatran orangutan)
Lineage: Eukaryota; Metazoa; Chordata; Mammalia; Primates; Hominidae
Source: RNAcentral